Molecule: non-coding RNA, 26 nt
Filed under: Mus musculus (house mouse)
Lineage: Eukaryota; Metazoa; Chordata; Mammalia; Rodentia; Muridae
Source: RNAcentral
UGGACAUCAAUUUAGAUGAACUCAUA